UUGGAGGGCAAGUCUGGUGCCAGCAGCCGCGGUAAUUCCAGCUCCAAUAGCGUAUAUUAAAGUUGUUGCAGUUAAAAAGCUCGUAGUUGAAUUUCGGGGUUCUACCGUCGGUCGGGCUAACAAGUCUGUACUGGUGUGUAGAAUUUCUACCUUCUGGGGAACUAUCAUGUUAUUAAUUUAGCGUGGUGGGAAACCAGGACCUUUACCUUGAAAAAAUUAGAGUGUUCAAAGCAGGCUUACGUCUGAAUACAUUAGCAUGGAAUAAUAGAAUAGGACGGUGGUCCUGUUUUGUUGGUUUCUGAAUCACCGUAAUGACUAAUAGGGAUAGUUGGGGGCAUUAGUAUUCAAUUGUCAGAGGUGAAAUUCUUGGAUUUAUUGAAGACUAACUUCUGCGAAAGCAUUUGCCAAGGAUGUUUUCAUUAAUCAAGAACGAAAGUUAGGGGAUCGAAGACGAUCAGAUACCGUCGUAGUCUUAACCAUAAACUAUGCCGACUAGGGAUCGGACGAUGUUAACCUUUAUUGACUCGUUCGGCACCUUACGGGAAAC
Molecule: ribosomal RNA, 547 nt
Filed under: uncultured Gigasporaceae
Lineage: Eukaryota; Fungi; Glomeromycota; Glomeromycetes; Diversisporales; Gigasporaceae
Description: SSU rRNA
Rfam family: Eukaryotic small subunit ribosomal RNA
Source: RNAcentral